GUUCUUUUAGUUUAACUUUAAAAUUUUGAUUUGUGGAAUCAAAGAUCUUUUUGAGGAGGAACC
RNAcentral lists this transfer RNA (63 nucleotides) under Augilina tetraina. RNAcentral's name for it is "tRNA-His". The record is from RNAcentral. Lineage: Eukaryota; Metazoa; Arthropoda; Insecta; Hemiptera; Caliscelidae.